ACGAACGCUGGCGGCAUGCCUAACACAUGCAAGUCGAACGAGACCUUCGGGUCUAGUGGCGCACGGGUGCGUAACGCGUGGGAACCUGCCCUUAGGUUCGGAAUAACUCCCCGAAAGGGGUGCUAAUACCGGAUAAUGUCUUCGGACCAAAGAUUUAUCGCCUUUGGAUGGACCCGCGUUGGAUUAGCUAGUUGGUAGGGUAAAAGCCUACCAAGGCGACGAUCCAUAGCUGGUCUGAGAGGAUGAUCAGCCACACUGGGACUGAGACACGGCCCAGACUCCUACGGGAGGCAGCAGUGGGGAAUAUUGGACAAUGGGCGAAAGCCUGAUCCAGCAAUGCCGCGUGAGUGAUGAAGGCCUUAGGGUUGUAAAGCUCUUUUACCCGGGAUGAUAAUGACAGUACCGGGAGAAUAAGCUCCGGCUAACUCCGUG
Molecule: ribosomal RNA, 432 nt
Filed under: uncultured bacterium
Lineage: Bacteria
Description: partial 16S ribosomal RNA
Rfam family: Bacterial small subunit ribosomal RNA
Source: RNAcentral